UAAUACAGAGAGUGCGAGCGUUAAUCGGAAUUACUGGGCGUAAAGCGCGUGUAGGUGGAUAUUUAAGUCGGAUGUGAAAGCCCCGAGCUCAACUUGGGAACUGCAUCCGAUACUGGAUAUCUAGAGUAUGGUAGAGGGAAGUGGAAUUUCCGGUGUAGCGGUGAAAUGCGUAGAUAUCGGAAGGAACAUCAGUGGCGAAGGCGACUUCCUGGACCAAUACUGACACUGAGACGCGAAAGCGUGGGGAGCAAACAGGAUUAGAGACCCUGGUAGUCCACGCCGUCAACGAUGAGAACUAGCUGUUGGGACCUUGAGUCUUAGUAGCGCAGCUAACGCGAUAAGUUCUCCGCCUGGGGAGUACGGCCGCAAGGUUA
Molecule: ribosomal RNA, 374 nt
Filed under: uncultured Gammaproteobacteria bacterium
Lineage: Bacteria; Pseudomonadati; Pseudomonadota; Gammaproteobacteria
Description: bacterial SSU rRNA
Rfam family: Bacterial small subunit ribosomal RNA
Source: RNAcentral